CCUACGGGAGGCAGCAGUGAGGAAUAUUGGUCAAUGGCCGGAAGGCUGAACCAGCCAAGCCGCGUGAAGGACGAAGGUGCCAAGCAUUGUAAACUUCUUUUGUCAAGGGACAAAAUCAGGCUCGAGAGCCUGACCGAGGGUACUUGAAGAAAAAGCAUAGGCUAACUCCGUGCCAGCCGCCGCGGUAAUACGGAGGAUGCGAGCGUUAUCCGGAUUUAUUGGGUUUAAAGGGUGCGUAGGCGGGCUGUUAAGUCAGCGGGAAAAGCCCGGGGCUCAACCCCGGCGAGCCGUUGAAACUGGCUGUCGUGAGAGGACGAGAGGGGAGCGGAAUGCGCAGUGUAGCGGUGAAAGGCUGAGAUAUUGGGCAGAACUCCGAUGGCGAAGGCAGCAUACCGGCGGCGAUCUGACGCUGAGGCACGAAAGCGUGGGUAUCGAACAGGAUUAGAUACCCUAGUAGUC
RNAcentral lists this ribosomal RNA (459 nucleotides) under uncultured bacterium. RNAcentral describes it as "partial 16S ribosomal RNA". It matches the Rfam family "Bacterial small subunit ribosomal RNA", at positions 338 to 795 of the family's 1533-position model. The record is from RNAcentral.